This is a long non-coding RNA of Mustela erminea (ermine), 3748 nucleotides long. RefSeq lists it as uncharacterized. Lineage: Eukaryota; Metazoa; Chordata; Mammalia; Carnivora; Mustelidae. The record is from RefSeq and is a predicted model, not a curated record. The transcript is spliced from 5 exons.
GGCGCCGCCAAGACCCUGCCCCGAGCCGCGGGGGCCUCCCGCUGCUCUCCGAGGUCGGCUCGCGGCCGCACCCUUUCGGAGCUGGGGCUCCCGCCGAAGGCCGCCGCUGGGACCCGCGAGCGAGGCGCAGACGAGCCUUCCCCGACACAAAGGUCUUUUCUAGAUCUUCCCGCUCGCACCCUUCCCGGCUGCCGGAGGGGGAGCAGCAGCCCCGGAUGCGCCCCGGGCCCCUCACCGGGCGUGGACGGAGCCCGUGCUCGCGCCCAGGGCUGGCGCUCCGGGGUCCUUUUGUGAACGGAGGCAAGCGUCCCCUCCCUGCUUCUUCGAAAACCGUCAGCUGGGUUCUCAGCACUGCGUGCCCUGAAUAAUAAAUUGGCUUCUCGAGGGUCGUAAUCUGGGCCCCACCCUGUGGAGCUUUGAGCUGGCCCAGCUUCUCCGGGCCGGCCUAUGGGGAGCGGGGGUGCCCCACAGCAUCCCCGGGUCGGGCCGCGUGGGGAUAACCAGGGGCCCACCGCGGGGUCUGAAUCCGAAUCUCUGCGGCGUGGGGUGGGGGUGGGGGGUGGGGCGGAAUUCGAAUUUUUCUGGCAAAUUACCCGGGUGAUUCUGAUGGCAAAGCCAGUGUGGGGAUCACUCUCCUAAAUCUUAAACCUGCCUUCGGGCACGCAGUUGUUAAGAUUCCUCCCCUGAAGAAUUUCUGGAGAUGGAAUUGUCACACACACCCCCUUGGUCCACGGCGAUGUUUAUUCUCCCUGCUGCGGGAGAAACUCCUGAGCCUGGCCGCACGCCCUCCUGCUUUCCUUAAGCGCAUCCUCUUCAGCUGGGUUUUCUAAUGGGAUCACGAACCUGUUGGAAGACAGCUGUCCUGCCCUCCUUUGGGGGAUCUUUCUCAGAAGACCUGUUUGCCAUGCUCAACCUGUGAAUCCAGCGGACCUACGUGACCCGGCCGCAGGGGGAGAAGCUCGGUGGCCACUUGCUCCUGAGCUAGGAGCGGGGUCCCUUCCCGGAGUGGCUAUAUAGCAGCACCCUUCCAGGAUUUAGAAGAUAACAAGAAGCUCCCCAAGGACUGGAUGCUGGAAAAAUCACCGCCAAGGGAAAGGGGAAGAAGCCUGCAGCAGGUCAUGCCUGACAACACCAUCUUCCCUUUCGCUGGCCCUCGUCCUCCCUUUCAGGAUGAAUUAAAAUCCUUAUCUGCUCCGUGUCCAGCGGACUUGGGACUCGCCUUCCUGACCUCAGCGGCUAGAGCUUCCCAAGCUUCUUGGGGUUAUUUUUGCCUCCGGGUGGUGGUCAUUACUUCCUUCCACAGUAUGAGGUUUGACACAGUGACAGAAAAAGAAUCAAUUAGCAAACACCCUCAAAAUGGCAGAACUGACCCCCAAACCUACUUUCAUUUUCUUCCGGUCUGGGUUGUGGGUAAUUUCUUGACAACUGUGAGAAAAAAGACAAUGAAAAUUGAAUUGUUUUUUCCAAAGCAAUGGUGAACAGAUGUCUAAUUCCCCGCUCUCCAGAAAGUUCUGGGAAUCCCUUACAUCACCUUAAAGGGGCAGAGGUGCGGAGGGCUGUGUUGAUAUUCAGCACCUGGGGCGGGGAGGCGGGGGUAGGUGCUUAGCCUUGUCCUAAAGACGGGCAAAGAGAACACAGGUCACCUUGGCUGGUGAUUCAGGGCUUCUAAAUUUGGCCCUGGGAGCAGCCUUGCUUCCUUUCUGCAAUUGAUCUGAACUGCAGAAGCCCAUUUUGAGGGUCCGAGAAUCACAUUUACAAACCGUGGGGGUGAAGGCCGUGCUAAUUGGCCACUUGCCUCACCCCUGGCUUUUAAACAAUCACUUGUAUUCUCUGCCCGGCAGGAAGCAGCAGGCCCAUCAAGGCUCUGGGCUCUGUCUUUGUUCUGACUUUAUGGCAUUUUAUGCCACAAUAAGAAACACUGUGUACUCCGUGGGAGCCCAUUGUGCUGGGCUGCAAGAUGUGGGCUCCCGUGCAGAGGGCUGGUGCUCUGCCCCCGGGAGAAGAGGGGCUUUGUGACAGGCCCGAGGGCAAAACAAGGGGUGCUGGACACUGUUACUGGGGCAACUGCUGGCCAGUGUGGAGGCCGCCAUGGCUCCUGGGUCCCUGUCAACAGCAGGCUAGGAGGAGGGCAGGAGAAGGAUGGACAUUGUUCUAAGAAGCAGUCCCAGUCACCGGAUAAAUUCUACAGCAGGACUGUGCUAACCGCGGCCCCCAACCCUCUGGGCUGCUGAGCUGGCCUCAUCCUGCUUCGAGACUCGGUGCCAGGUGACCGCCUCUGCCUGUAAGCCAGCUCUCAUUCCUCGAAGACACGCCAUCUGGUAUACAAGCUACAUCUUUGUCCUGGCGAUGACAGUGCCAUAGCCUACCCAAGUGACCACGAAGACCUCAACAGAUGGCACAUGUGAUCGCCAGCCCUGCAAGGUUUGGGGAAGUGCGGCCGGAUGGGCCCGCUCAGAGACCGACUCACCCUUCCUCUCGAAACUCGGCUGUAGUUGAGCCUCAUGAGUUCUGCAAAUCUCUGCUCAUAGAGGUGAAGCAGCAGCACCAGCCACUUUUUCAGGCAAUCCUGAUGAACAAACUGCAGGCUUCCCACACAGCCGCAAGGCUCCAGGAGGGGGUUGGUUGGGGAACCCCCGGCUAUCUGACAGAUGCGACACAGGUCUCCCUCCUCCUCCUCCGAGUCCUCCUCCAGGAGACUAAAUGGAAAACAAGCCCUGGUGACCGGGGGGUCUGCGCAGUUUCUACAAACUACAACUACUACUACUAUUUCCCAGGAUGUUAAAGGGAGAGGCCCCGCCAGGGCUGCCCGGGCUCCCCCACGGCUCUCUCUGACCCUACCGAAGAUUCUUCCAGGUGACUUAUAGUAGAUUCACGGACCCUUGUAGUGGACUCCUUGGCAGUUACUGACACGUGUGAGCCAACUGCCAGAAAUCUAGAGGCGGUGGACAAGGCUACAGAGGAAGACCAUGGAAGAGGCUGGGAGCUCCUCUCCAAGUCGUGGCCACUGUGGAAGUUGGUGGUACACCGUGUUGAUCCUGAAACCCUGGGUCAGAAGUGAGAAGAUCCCUGUGGGACAUGAGCAGCCUGCCACCCGCAGACACCCAUCCAUCCCUCCUGGGCCAGGAAAACAGCUUUUUCAUAAAGAAUGCUCAAAGGGCCCAGCAGUGGGGAAGGCAGUUAAGAGACUGGGCCCAGCUGGUCAGAGAAGAACUGGAUUUGGAACCUGGCUCUGGGACCUUGGAGCUGUGUGAGCUCGGGAAGAUCACUUCACCUCUUGAAGCCUCAGUUUCCCCACCUAGUAAAUGAAAUAAUAAUACCUAAUUUGCAAAGUCGUUAUCACCAUGAAUGAGUACCUGUGACACCUGCAAUGCAGAGUCUAUAAGGGAGUGUGUCCUUUCGCUAAGAAGUGUCUAGUUUCCCAUUCAUAGAUGUUGGGUUGGGCAUGUUGCUAACAUUGUCAAGAACCAUCUGCAUUUGGGACACACAAAAGCCCUCUCCCCAACUGCACUUCCAAGGUUGAAUCACAGCCUAUUUUGUUUCUAUAUAUCCUGAGGUGGUUUAUUAGCAGCUCACAUGGCCUUCCAAAAAGGUUCCAGGCAUCCGGGCUAAGUAUACCUGUUUUCUUGGCUGUGUGCUAUGCACCACUGUACUGGAUGAUAAACUCACAGGAAGAUGGUAGCUGGAAUGCUAAUGUGGGUUGAGGUCCCAAUGAGUAUUUUUUUAAAAUUCCCAUUUUGAACCGGGUUGC